UGGGGAAUAUUGCACAAUGGGCGCAAGCCUGAUGCAGCCAUGCCGCGUGUGUGAAGAAGGCCUUCGGGUUGUAAAGCACUUUCAGCGAGGAGGAAGGUGGUGAAGCUUAAUACGCUCAUCAAUUGACGUUACUCGCAGAAGAAGCACCGGCUAACUCCGUGCCAGCAGCCGCGGUAAUACGGAGGGUGCAAGCGUUAAUCGGAAUUACUGGGCGUAAAGCGCACGCAGGCGGUUUGUUAAGUCAGAUGUGAAAUCCCCGGGCUCAACCUGGGAACUGCAUUUGAAACUGGCAAGCUAGAGUCUCGUAGAGGGGGGUAGAAUUCCAGGUGUAGCGGUGAAAUGCGUAGAGAUCUGGAGGAAUACCGGUGGCGAAGGCGGCCCCCUGGACGAAGACUGACGCUCAGGUGCGAAAAGGCGUGGGGGAGCAAAACAGGAUUAGAUACCCUGGUAGUCCACGCUGUAAAACGAUGUCGAUUUUGGAGGUUGUGCCCCUUGAGGCGUGGCUUCCGGAGCUAACGCGUUAAAUCGACCGCC
RNAcentral lists this ribosomal RNA (534 nucleotides) under uncultured bacterium. Its description in RNAcentral is "partial 16S ribosomal RNA". It matches the Rfam family "Bacterial small subunit ribosomal RNA", at positions 355 to 873 of the family's 1533-position model. The record is from RNAcentral.